GACGAACGCUGGCGGCGUGCUUAACACAUGCAAGUCGAACGGAAAGGCCCUGCUUUUGUGGGGUGCUCGAGUGGCGAACGGGUGAGUAACACGUGAGUAACCUGCCCUUGACUUUGGGAUAACUUCAGGAAACUGGGGCUAAUACCGGAUAGGAGCUCCUGCUGCUUGGUGGGGGUUGGAAAGUUUCGGCGGUUGGGGAUGGACUCGCGGCUUAUCAGCUUGUUGGUGGGGUAGUGGCUUACCAAGGCUUUGACGGGUAGCCGGCCUGAGAGGGUGACCGGCCACAUUGGGACUGAGAUACGGCCCAGACUCCUACGGGAGGCAGCAGUGGGGAAUAGUGCACAAUGGGCGGAAGCCUGAUGCAGCAACGCCGCGUGCGGGAUGACGGCCUUCGGGUUGUAAACCGCUUUCGCCUGUGACGAAGCGUGAGUGACGGUAAUGGGUAAAGAAGCACCGGCUAACUACGUG
Molecule: ribosomal RNA, 468 nt
Filed under: uncultured bacterium
Lineage: Bacteria
Description: partial 16S ribosomal RNA
Rfam family: Bacterial small subunit ribosomal RNA
Source: RNAcentral